This 250-nucleotide ribosomal RNA is filed under the name uncultured bacterium. Its description in RNAcentral is "partial 16S ribosomal RNA". It matches the Rfam family "Bacterial small subunit ribosomal RNA", at positions 524 to 773 of the family's 1533-position model. The record is from RNAcentral.
UACGUAGGGGGCAAGCGUUAUCCGGAUUUACUGGGUGUAAAGGGAGCGUAGGCGGUGCGAUAAGUCUGGUGUGAAAGCCCGGGGCUCAACCCCGGGACUGCAUUGGAAACUAUCGGACUAGAGUGUCGGAGAGGUAAGUGGAAUUCCUAGUGUAGCGGUGAAAUGCGUAGAUAUUAGGAGGAACACCAGUGGCGAAGGCGACUUACUGGACGAUAACUGACGCUGAGGCUCGAAAGCGUGGGGAGCAAAC